UUUGGUUCAUGGUGAAAAGGUGGUACAUCUAGCAUGGGGUAGUUUGGUUCAUGGUGAAAAGGUGGUACAUCUAGCAUGGGGUAGUUUGGUUCAUGGUGAAAAGAUGGUACAUCUAGCAUGGGGUAGUUUGGUUCAUGGUGAAAAGGUGGUACAUCUAGCAUGGGGUAGUUUGGUUCAUGGUGAAAUAGGUGGUACAUCUAGCAUGGGGUAGUUUGGUUCAUGGUGAAAUAGGUGGUACAUCUAGCAUGGGGUAGUUUGGUUCAUGGUGAAUUCUCAUGUUUAUUGCAUGCAGUCUCUAAAUGUGUCUAUAACGUAUUACUAGGCUAAAGUGUAUGUUGUUAGCCAAGCCAGUCAUCUGUUGCAACAUCAAAGUGCAGUUCAUUGGUGGAAUAAGACCAUAUUGAGUUAUGAGUUUACUGGCAGAAAGUAUAGAAAACAGUCAGAGAACCUCCUUAAGAAAUGGUCCUAUUCAUCUGUUUUUAAUCUGUGUCAUUAGGUUGGCUGAGUUUGCUGUUUUUAAUCUGCAUUUACGGGAAGGGUUCUUGUCGGUGUCUGUUUCCUCUCUCUCUUCAGUGUAAACUUUCAGCUCUAACAGAUUACAUGUGAGGCAGAGAGAAAACACUUGAGAUGCAUAAUGAGUGUGUAUUUUAAUUAAGAUCAGGCCUUCUGUAGGCCUACAGUUUUUUGAACCUUUAUUUAACUAGGCAGGUCAGACAAUAACUCAUUCUUAUCUACAAUGACAGCCUCCCAGGGAACAGUGGGUUAACUGCCUUGUUCAGGGGCAGAACGACAGAUUUGGACCUUGUCAGCUCUUGGAUUCGAUCUUGCAACCUUUCGCUUACUAGUCCAACACUCUAACCACUAGGUUACCUGCCGUACCACAGUGAUCAGAUUAGUAACACAACAUAUUUCUAUUUGAUAAUUGCAAAGAUUAUUGUAUAACUGUAUGAGAUACAUAGACUGACAAAUGGAACUAUUUCUUAAUUUCCAUAUUUGACUAUUUGGUUUUACAUUUGAGCAAAAAAAAGAUGUUUAAAACGUAAUGUACAUGAAAAUCUGGACACCUAAUUCUAAAAGAGAAAGUGUGAGACGUGAAAACAAUCUCCCUCUCUGUUUUUCCUGUUGGAGUUGUGGGAAUGUUGGAGGCAUGUCCUCCCCUCGCCUCUCUGCGCCAACUUGGAUGAUUUAUAUAUUUCCUCCCUUUCUGCGUUCAGAAUAAUACUGUGUGUUCUCUGCUCUGAGAGACACUGUAACCAGACAGACUGACACAAUGGGCUGUGAGAGACGGCUGUUCCUGACUGCUGCUCUGCUGGCUG
Molecule: long non-coding RNA, 1316 nt
Organism: Oncorhynchus tshawytscha (Chinook salmon)
Lineage: Eukaryota; Metazoa; Chordata; Actinopteri; Salmoniformes; Salmonidae
Source: Ensembl